AGGGGACCUUCAUCUCCAGGAUGAGAAGUUGUCAUGCAUAAGAACCAUGGAAACUUUAGAGACCAAUUGCAAGAUCCUAACUUCUGGCAUGAAUGAGAGAAGUGCAGUUACCCACAAGUGAGAGAAGAUCAAUGAUGGACAAUUCUCAAAGUUUUAUAUGGAAUGUACCCGAUAUUCAUAAAUAAAAUGUAGUGCUUUCAACAGAA
Long non-coding RNA from Stegostoma tigrinum, 206 nucleotides. RefSeq lists it as uncharacterized. The transcript has 2 exons. NCBI's taxonomy places the organism in Eukaryota, Metazoa, Chordata, Chondrichthyes, Orectolobiformes, Stegostomatidae. The record is from RefSeq and is a predicted model, not a curated record.